UCCAGCAUUCUUUUGUUUAGAGCUUUCUUUUCUGCUGCGAACGAAGUUGAUGGCGGUCGCGUGUGCGAUUGCUCUGAAGAUUAUGCGAUGAAUCAUAGUAUUUUAGUUAUUAUUUUACUUUGUUUUCGAAAAUACAAGUUGUAUAAGUGGAGAAAUUCCUGUUUUGCGAUAUAUCGAUCUAAACCCGGCUAUUCUACACAGUGGAAUUCGGAGGAAAAACUGGACGGAGAUCUGGAGUGUGUGAGCCGUGUUCUUCCUUAAGCUAGGAUGGUAUUGCCUAUGAGCGAACUUUUCUGCUCCCACACAUGGCCUGUUGACUGUUGCCCCAGUGAAGAACCCAAGGUCCAGCCUUCCCCACUCAAGACAUGCCUGAGACAAGAGUGACUGUAUUCCAAGUUGAUCCAAGGUGAUCCUAACUUAAAUGUAGUUCACCGCUUGAAAAAGACAAAAAUACUCAACACUAUUAAUGUUGAAAUCAUUGGUCUAUGGUUAUUACUGUCCUGAAACCCUUCACCCUUUUUGUUUUUGUAUCUAGUUUGUCUCAUCUUCUGUACCAUAAUUAUGCUUGCACAUAUUGCCUACCUAGAAAUGUAACUUGAACCUGAUCUCAAUGGUAUUCUAUACAAUGACAAUAAAGGCUUUAUUCUAUUUGGGCUUUGUGUACAUUUUUUAUUGCUGCACUUAAAUUUUGAAGAUAUGAAUUACAGAAGCAAUGGCAUUUCAUUGGUAGGAUAGAAUGGAGAUCAAAAUGUAUGGUCAGGGUUUAGUAAGUGACCAAUCCGCAACGUUGUGGAAAGGUAAAUAACGUAAUAAAGAAGUUUAAACAACGUGUCAGCAACGUAAAUCUAUUAACGUUAUGACGGAUGACUGCCUGGCGACGUAAUCACAACUUCGGGGUAAGGUAAUUCUAUUACAUUGUCAAACGUAAAGUUGUAAGGACGUAACUGUUACGUAUCCACAACGUUGUUUUGCGACGUCGUGCUGGUCUUACGUUUUUACGGUAAUACUACGUAAAUUGAGACGUAACGCGGACAUUAUGAGACCAAUAGAUGAUGUUCAUAGUACGUCGCCACAACCACAUUUUGUUAGUAGGGAUAGUUGGCGUGGCCCAGGUGCCAACUGACUGACGUCACACAGGCGAAACUGGUUGGAUCCGGUUGGAUCUCUGGGAAGUGAGGUCCAAAAACACACUUACAAUUACUGCUUUUCGCCUUUGGUACCGCCAAAGAGAACGAAACGGAAAUCUUUGAGAUUGUAACUUCAAAGAAAACGCCAAUUCGCGUUUAAGGGUUCUUGGACAUUUCUGAACAUGACGUGUUGAACCAGUGCGUUGUAAUUUGGCGCUCCGCCUGUGUGUAUUUGGCAAGUGCGCUAGCAAUAAAAAUAAAUGGGAAAGUAAAUUAUGGGUCAGAGCAACUAAUUAAUACGGUGAUGUUUAUAAAAAAGUAUUUAGCCAUGUGUAUGGUUGAUUUAAUGAAGAGUAAUGAGACACAAAGAAAUGAAUCACAAAUGUGUAAUUGGAGCAGUUUAUGAUCACAACUAUAUGUAAAUGCAUAGAGAGUGAAUAUGUAAUCCUCUUUUUGGCCUAUUCAGGCCUAUUUCCUUUCUCCCUGUUUGUGUUAGAUUCGACAUCUUUGGAGGAAAGUGGAUUUCUUCUGCUGCUUCUCUGCGCUACUACAGUGGUGGUAGAGUUUAGCAGUUGUGGCGAGCCAAGCUAAUUGAUGGGACGAUUCUGAAAGAUCUGAACUGUUGCUUUCAUCUGAAAUCCUGGUAGGACUGAUCAUUGCCAGAACACUGAAGGACACAUGUAAUAGACUGUAUAUUUUCAUUCCCUUCAUUGGACUGAAAAAAAGGGAAUCACUGUUUCAUUGGUUGAAGUUACUUUUAUUGCUCUGUUGAUUGAUAUUGAUAUUUGGGGAAUUGAUACUAUUUCUUUUAAAAGGUAUUUUGAUACAUA
Molecule: long non-coding RNA, 1957 nt
Organism: Anguilla rostrata (American eel)
Lineage: Eukaryota; Metazoa; Chordata; Actinopteri; Anguilliformes; Anguillidae
Exons: 3
Source: RefSeq, a predicted model, not a curated record